CAUGACUGCAGAGUCAUGUUGAAACCAGGAUUCUUAUAGUCUCCUUAACUAAAAGCUGGGCCUGCAGUGGAGUGUCAUUCUCCUCAGUCAUUAGAAGGCCUCUCUUUCAGGGUCUGUGACUAUAGACCUAAGCAGUACUGGCAUUUCUAUUACUUGCGUUCCACAUCCUUGUCCUGUGAAUCAACAUUGGCAUCUGUACAGGAAAUAUUUGCUGUGGUCUGAAGAUUAAAACAGAAAGAGAUGGCAAGCAGCAGUCUUUGGAACAGCAACUACUUAAACUUCAAGUAGCGACUGCAGAACCACGAAGAGGCCUGGGUGGAGAACCUUAGAAGUGAACAGCAGGCAAACCCCAUCAAUCUGAGUUGCUGAGGAGUGGAAGCCAGUCCAGGAGAUCCAGAUACAAAUAUCAGAAGAGGAAGUUUGCGAGAAAAGCCUGAGUGACUUUGAAAAUUAAGACAAGAGGAAGAUCCCAGUGUAAACAUGAAGAUCAACAAAGCCUGAUCGAAUAAGCCACUGCAUGUGUCUUCUUUUACACCCAUUUGCUUGUUUAAAUUGAUCAGCAUAUUCUCAUCUCAGAGAAGGACAGAUGGUAUAUCAAAGUCCCCCGUGCAGACUGUGGGUUGGGAGGAGGAAGUAUUCUACAUUUGAGUGGCUAUCUUAAAAGAAGAGCAUCUCGUUUUUGCAAGAAAAACCAAUUUCAUUGUCUGUUUCUUGAAAAAACUUGGGGUUUAUUGAUUUAAACUGCAAACAGUCGUUACAAAAGAGAUUCUUUUAAAUAAACUCACAGAGAAAAAAAGCAAUGUAGUGAACAGUAACAGGGGGGAAAAAAAAUUACAUUCAUUAUUUUCUUUGUGCCAGUCCCGUUCACCUCAACAAGGAAAACUCCAAACUUGGAACACAGAAAGGCAAA
Molecule: long non-coding RNA, 910 nt
Organism: Mauremys mutica (yellowpond turtle)
Lineage: Eukaryota; Metazoa; Chordata; Testudines; Geoemydidae
Exons: 4
Source: RefSeq, a predicted model, not a curated record